GCUGGGCAUGGUGGCCCAUGCCUGUAAUCUCAGCUACUCAGGAGGCUGAGGCAGGAGAAUUGCUUGAACCCAGGAGGUGGAGGUUGCAGUGAGCCAAAGUCAUGCCACUGCACUCCAGCCUGGGUGACAGAGCGAGACUCUGUCUCAA
Unclassified non-coding RNA from Macaca fascicularis (crab-eating macaque), 148 nucleotides. It matches the Rfam family "Metazoan signal recognition particle RNA". Rfam says of the family: The signal recognition particle (SRP) is a universally conserved ribonucleoprotein. It is involved in the co-translational targeting of proteins to membranes. The record is from Ensembl. NCBI's taxonomy places the organism in Eukaryota, Metazoa, Chordata, Mammalia, Primates, Cercopithecidae.